CUGGAAUGGGAAAUGGAAAGAGAAAACUAAAUAGCAUAAAAAAGUUUUUGUCUACUACUAAAUUUAGCCUUAUCUCCUGUAUCUUUUUCAGGACAGAUUAACAGAUUUUACAUCCUAUGAAGUCAACAAACAAAAGAUGGAUUAGGAAUUCUACAAGCAAAAUGUUCUCACCCACAAAGACCAGGUUGUUGUAAUUCUCCAACAUCACAUCAAUGUACAAAGACCGCUGAGCAGAGUCCAGGCAUUCCCACUCCUCUUGGGGGAAGUCCACAGCUACAUCCCUGAAUGUCAACAGACCCUGAAACAAAGAAGUAUGGUUUGACCAUUUGUUACCUGGAUGUGCUUUCCUAGAUAUAAGGAGAUGGAAUGUAGGUGAGCUAAGGAACAAUCAAUAGAUGGUUGCUUCCCUUUCAAAUCAAGGGGUCAAAAUGGAAGAGUUAAAAUUAAUACUGAAAGCUGUUAGAGAACAAUGUCAAACCACAUGAAAAGACCCAAGCAACAGAAUUCUACCAGGUGUCUAGUCAAUGAUCCCAAAACCAGGAAGGAGAGCAUGGAAAGACAUUUGAAGCUUGAAGAGAAAAUUACCAUAAAAUAUCUAGUUACACAAAGAAAAUUACUCUCUUAAAAUUGAUGGAGACUUAAGUGAAUUUCAAGACAGUCAGCAAUUAACACAAUUGAUUUCACUAAAGCAGCACUGCAGAUAAUAAAACAGAGGCAAAAUAUACACAGGAGAGUCAGAGAAUCAUUCAUGAGAACAUGGGAAAUAAUAAAUUUCAUGUAAAGAAGAGAGAAAUACAGGAGAACUGGAGAGUAAUCAUCCAUGAGCAAGACAACAAACUACUAUUUCUCAAAAAGAAGGAAGAAUACUACCAAUAAGCCAACCAGCAACAAACAAACAAAACCAUAGGAAAUAAAAAUGCCAUAAACAAAAAAACUCGCCAUACUGCAAAUCAAACUAGACAAUCCUCAAGUAAACAAACCCUGAAGUUAAAUAAAUUCAGCACAUGUCAUUCCUUUGUACAAGCUCAAAGACUUGACAUCCUGCUCCACAGACACUUGCUCACCCAUGUUCAUUGCUACUCUACUUAUAAUAUCUACAAAAUGGAAACAACCUAAAUGUCCUUCAACUGACAAAUAGAUAAGUGGAAGUGUGGUACAUAUACGCUAUAGAAUACUAUUCAGCUGUAAAGAAAAUUAAAAUCCUGAGCUCUGCAGGUAAAUAGAUUGACUUAUGAAAGAUCAUACUGAGUGAGGUAACCUGGCCCCAGAAAGAAAUGACGCAUGAUCUCUAUCAGAGAAGUUCCUAGCUACAAAUCUUCAGAUGUGAGUACGCAACUUGGAGUGAUUGUAGUACCCAGAAAAGUGAAAAGAGAUCACUGUGGGGUGUGGGUGAGUAAUAGAGAUGGAGUAACAGGGAACAAGUGAUCUGAAGGAGGAAAUGGGAAAACAGGGUUGAGGAUUUAACUAUGCAGAAGGGAUAGAUAUGAACACAGAAGAAGGAGGAUAAAAUAACAGUAAGGAUGUCUGGAAAAUUCAUAAGGAAUCCAUCUAUUCCUUGAUUCUUAUCCAUCUAUCCAAAAAUUCCUAUAAUACAUCUGUCUCUGUAAGAGACACUUUUAAGUAUAAAUGAAAAUCUCCCAAAUGGACUGAUGAUUCUCCUCAGAAGAGCCAUAGAAUUUCUAACAAAAUGACCAAUACCAGGUGUAAGAAGCCUGCUUUGAAGUUGUUGGUCACACUUGUCCAAGAGACUUCCAAAUAUUACAAGGUAUUGCUGUUGCCCAUGGUUUCCUCCUAGAAGUCGUUGAGUCCCUAAUGUUGAAACCACAUAUUACAGACACAAAUCCAAGAGAACGCCAGAUGGACAUGACCUCAACGCCUCCUCCCUGGGGACUAGCUUUCAUGGUAUCAGAAGGCAACAUGCAACUUUUCAAAGGUGGGAGCCAGUCAACAGUCCUGCCCAGCUAUGAUGCCUAUGAACCACAACAAUGAUCUGCACUGCAUGAUAGCCCUAAGGGUGUAAGAGUGGUACACAGACCUUGGUGGUAAUCAACAGCUUCUAAUUGGAUUAAGACCCUCUCAACCAGACAGAAAUUAUGGCUGGCACUGGAAACCUAGCCUGUUUCCCCAGGGCUAGUAAAGGCAUAGAUCUUGGAGGAGAAACUACAACCAGUACUUUACUAAAUCAGCAUAAGUCCCUACUGCAUUCUAAAUAUUGAUCCUUAUUGCCAACAGACAAUAUGAGACAGUAUAGAUGGAGUUUAGCAGCCUGUAUAUAUACUUGCUGAUUUUUAUCAAAACACUGUUGGCAUUAUUUUCAGGAAUGGAGGAGACAUUAACCUAAAAGAUAGAGAAUGUGCUAGAAUACCAAAAGCUCAAAAACUCUGAAUACAAUAACCGUAAAGGUAUUAAUUUUCAUUACUUUUAUAAUAUAUUAAAAUCAAAGAAAUAAAAAUGAUUUAAUAAUGGCA
Molecule: non-coding RNA, 2468 nt
Organism: Peromyscus maniculatus bairdii (prairie deer mouse)
Lineage: Eukaryota; Metazoa; Chordata; Mammalia; Rodentia; Cricetidae
Source: RefSeq, a predicted model, not a curated record